UUACUAUGAUGGCUGCAUAGUUCAGCAGAUUGCGUCAUGAAGAGAUGUACCAGCUAUCUGAUGUAAAA
Molecule: small nucleolar RNA, 68 nt
Organism: Callithrix jacchus (white-tufted-ear marmoset)
Lineage: Eukaryota; Metazoa; Chordata; Mammalia; Primates; Cebidae
Source: Ensembl